GAUUAAGUUAUUAAGGGCGCACGGUGGAUGCCUUGGCACUAGAAGCCGAUGAAGGACGUUACUAACGACGAUAUGCUUUGGGGAGCUGUAAGUAAGCUUUGAUCCAGAGAUUUCCGAAUGGGGAAACCCAGCAUGAGUUAUGUCAUGUUAUCGAUAUGUGAAUACAUAGCAUAUCAGAAGGCACACCCGGAGAACUGAAACAUCUUAGUACCCGGAGGAAGAGAAAGAAAAUUCGAUUCCCUUAGUAGCGGCGAGCGAAACGGGAAGAGCCCAAACCAACAAGCUUGCUUGUUGGGGUUGUAGGACACUCUAUACGGAGUUACAAAGGACGACAUUAGACGAAUCAUCUGGAAAGAUGAAUCAAAGAAGGUAAUAAUCCUGUAGUCGAAAAUGUUGUCUCUCUUGAGUGGAUCCUGAGUACGACGGAGCACGUGAAAUUCCGUCGGAAUCUGGGAGGACCAUCUCCUAAGGCUAAAUACUCUCUAGUGACCGAUAGUGAACCAGUACCGUGAGGGAAAGGUGAAAAGCACCCCGGAAGGGGAGUGAAAUAGAACCUGAAACCGUGUGCUUACAAGUAGUCAGAGCCCGUUAAUGGGUGAUGGCGUGCCUUUUGUAGAAUGAACCGGCGAGUUACGAUUUGAUGCAAGGUUAAGCAGUAAAUGUGGAGCCGUAGCGAAAGCGAGUCUGAAUAGGGCGUUUAGUAUUUGGUCGUAGACCCGAAACCAGGUGAUCUACCCUUGGUCAGGUUGAAGUUCAGGUAACACUGAAUGGAGGACCGAACCGACUUACGUUGAAAAGUGAGCGGAUGAACUGAGGGUAGCGGAGAAAUUCCAAUCGAACCUGGAGAUAGCUGGUUCUCUCCGAAAUAGCUUUAGGGCUAGCCUCAAGUGAUGAUUAUUGGAGGUAGAGCACUGUUUGGACGAGGGGCCCCUCUCGGGUUACCGAAUUCAGACAAACUCCGAAUGCCAAUUAAUUUAACUUGGGAGUCAGAACAUGGGUGAUAAGGUCCGUGUUCGAAAGGGAAACAGCCCAGACCACCAGCUAAGGUCCCAAAAUAUAUGUUAAGUGGAAAAGGAUGUGGCGUUGCCCAGACAACUAGGAUGUUGGCUUAGAAGCAGCCAUCAUUUAAAGAGUGCGUAAUAGCUCACUAGUCGAGUGACACUGCGCCGAAAAUGUACCGGGGCUAAACAUAUUACCGAAGCUGUGGAUUGUCCUUUGGACAAUGGUAGGAGAGCGUUCUAAGGGCGUUGAAGCAUGAUCGUAAGGACAUGUGGAGCGCUUAGAAGUGAGAAUGCCGGUGUGAGUAGCGAAAGACGGGUGAGAAUCCCGUCCACCGAUUGACUAAGGUUUCCAGAGGAAGGCUCGUCCGCUCUGGGUUAGUCGGGUCCUAAGCUGAGGCCGACAGGCGUAGGCGAUGGAUAACAGGUUGAUAUUCCUGUACCACCUAUAAUCGUUUUAAUCGAUGGGGGGACGCAGUAGGAUAGGCGAAGCGUGCGAUUGGAUUGCACGUCUAAGCAGUAAGGCUGAGUAUUAGGCAAAUCCGGUACUCAUUAAGGCUGAGCUGUGAUGGGGAGAAGACAUUGUGUCUUCGAGUCGUUGAUUUCACACUGCCGAGAAAAGCCUCUAGAUAGAAAAUAGGUGCCCGUACCGCAAACCGACACAGGUAGUCAAGAUGAGAAUUCUAAGGUGAGCGAGCGAACUCUCGUUAAGGAACUCGGCAAAAUGACCCCGUAACUUCGGGAGAAGGGGUGCUCUUUAGGGUUAACGCCCAGAAGAGCCGCAGUGAAUAGGCCCAAGCGACUGUUUAUCAAAAACACAGGUCUCUGCUAAACCGUAAGGUGAUGUAUAGGGGCUGACGCCUGCCCGGUGCUGGAAGGUUAAGAGGAGUGGUUAGCUUCUGCGAAGCUACGAAUCGAAGCCCCAGUAAACGGCGGCCGUAACUAUAACGGUCCUAAGGUAGCGAAAUUCCUUGUCGGGUAAGUUCCGACCCGCACGAAAGGCGUAACGAUUUGGGCACUGUCUCAACGAGAGACUCGGUGAAAUCAUAGUACCUGUGAAGAUGCAGGUUACUCGCGACAGGACGGAAAGACCCCGUGGAGCUUUACUGUAGCCUGAUAUUGAAAUUCGGCACAGCUUGUACAGGAUAGGUAGGAGCCUUUGAAACGUGAGCGCUAGCUUACGUGGAGGCGCUGGUGGGAUACUACCCUAGCUGUGUUGGCUUUCUAACCCGCACCACUUAUCGUGGUGGGAGACAGUGUCAGGCGGGCAGUUUGACUGGGGCGGUCGCCUCCUAAAAGGUAACGGAGGCGCUCAAAGGUUCCCUCAGAAUGGUUGGAAAUCAUUCAUAGAGUGUAAAGGCAUAAGGGAGCUUGACUGCGAGACCUACAAGUCGAGCAGGGUCGAAAGACGGACUUAGUGAUCCGGUGGUUCCGCAUGGAAGGGCCAUCGCUCAACGGAUAAAAGCUACCCCGGGGAUAACAGGCUUAUCUCCCCCAAGAGUUCACAUCGACGGGGAGGUUUGGCACCUCGAUGUCGGCUCAUCGCAUCCUGGGGCUGUAGUCGGUCCCAAGGGUUGGGCUGUUCGCCCAUUAAAGCGGUACGCGAGCUGGGUUCAGAACGUCGUGAGACAGUUCGGUCCCUAUCCGUCGUGGGCGUAGGAAAUUUGAGAGGAGCUGUCCUUAGUACGAGAGGACCGGGAUGGACAUACCUCUGGUGUACCAGUUGUCGUGCCAACGGCAUAGCUGGGUAGCUAUGUGUGGACGGGAUAAGUGCUGAAAGCAUCUAAGCAUGAAGCCCCCCUCAAGAUGAGAUUUCCCAACUUCGGUUAUAAGAUCCCUCAAAGAUGAUGAGGUUAAUAGGUUCGAGGUGGAAGCAUGGUGACAUGUGGAGCUGACGAAUACUAAUCGAUCGAAGACUUAAUCAA
RNAcentral lists this ribosomal RNA (2923 nucleotides) under Staphylococcus aureus. Its description in RNAcentral is "23S ribosomal RNA". It matches the Rfam family "Bacterial large subunit ribosomal RNA". Lineage: Bacteria; Bacillati; Bacillota; Bacilli; Caryophanales; Staphylococcaceae. The record is from RNAcentral.